Molecule: ribosomal RNA, 466 nt
Filed under: uncultured bacterium
Lineage: Bacteria
Description: partial 16S ribosomal RNA
Rfam family: Bacterial small subunit ribosomal RNA
Source: RNAcentral
GACGAACGCUGGCGGCGUGCUUAACACAUGCAAGUCGAACGGAAAGGCCCUGCUUUUGUGGGGUGCUCGAGUGGCGAACGGGUGAGUAACACGUGAGUAACCUGCCCUUGACUUUGUGGUAACUUCAGGAAACUGGGGCUCAUACCGGAUAGAAGCUCCUGCUGCGUGUUGUGGGUUGGAAAAUGUCGGCUGUUGGGGAUGGUCUAGGGGCUUCUCCGCUUGUUGGUGGGGUAGUGGCUUACCCAGGCUUUGACGGGUAGCCGGCCUGAGCGGGGGACCGGUCACAUCGGGAAUGAGAGGCGGCCGAGGCGCCUACGGGAGGCAGCGGGGGAGAAUAUUGCACAAUGGGCGGAAGCGUGAUGCAGGAAUGCCGCGCGCGAGAUGACGUCCUUCGGGUUGUACCGCUGUCGCCGGUGACGUAGCGUGAGUGACGGUAAUGGGUAAAGAAGCACCGGCUAACUACGUG